AUUGAACGCUGGCGGCAUGCUUUACACAUGCAAGUCGAACGGUAACAGGCCGCCAGGUGCUGACGAGUGGCGAACGGGUGAGUAAUGCAUCGGAACGUGCCCAGUCGUGGGGGAUAACUACUCGAAAGAGUAGCUAAUACCGCAUACGAUCUAUGGAUGAAAGCGGGGGACCGUAAGGCCUCGCGCGAUUGGAGCGGCCGAUGUCAGAUUAGGUAGUUGGUGGGGUCAAGGCUCACCAAGCCAACGAUCUGUAGCUGGUCUGAGGGGAGGACCAGCCACACUGGGACUGAGACACGGCCCAGACUCCGACGGGAGGCAGCAGUGGGGAAUUUUGGACAAUGGGCGCAAGCCUGAUCCAGCAAUGCCGCGUGCAGGAAGAAGGCCUUCGGGUUGUAAACUGCUUUUGUACGGAACGAAACGGCUCUGGUUAAUACCCGGGGCUAAUGACGGUACCGUAAGAAUAAGCACCGGCUAACUACGUG
This 482-nucleotide ribosomal RNA is filed under the name uncultured bacterium. RNAcentral's name for it is "partial 16S ribosomal RNA". It matches the Rfam family "Bacterial small subunit ribosomal RNA", at positions 30 to 507 of the family's 1533-position model. The record is from RNAcentral.